This 234-nucleotide microRNA precursor is filed under the name Pelobates cultripes (western spadefoot toad). The record is from RNAcentral. Lineage: Eukaryota; Metazoa; Chordata; Amphibia; Anura; Pelobatidae.
CAUAGCAUUUGCAAAAGUAGACAAUCCAAGGUAUUGCAAGUGGGCAAUGUCCAGUCUUUCUUAGCAGCCACUUAGUCACAAACACUGGCCAAAUAUUUUUUUUUUUGCUUUUUUCACACAAAAACAAAUAUGAACGCUAAUUUUGGCCAGUGUUUGUGACUAAGUGGCUACUAAAAAAGACUAAACAUACCCCACUUUCAAUACCUUGGGUUGUCUACUUUUUCAAAUGGUAUG